Long non-coding RNA from Eriocheir sinensis (Chinese mitten crab), 222 nucleotides. RefSeq lists it as uncharacterized. The record is from RefSeq and is a predicted model, not a curated record. Lineage: Eukaryota; Metazoa; Arthropoda; Malacostraca; Decapoda; Varunidae. The transcript is spliced from 2 exons.
CCACUCCAGGUGGAAUGAAACCAGGGAUGGGUCCUAUGAGACCCCCAGGACCAGCCCCCCCGAUGACUAGCAUGAGUCAGCAGUUUGGGGGUAUGAGUCUGGGCCCCCCUUCAGGACCUGGUCAGAUGAAGCCUCCACAAGGCCCAGUCUCCAAUGGCUAUCCAUACAGUGACCUUCAGAAUGGUCCUCCCUCUGGUCCACCUUCUGGCCCUCCUCCUGGUC